AUGGACCACGCCGUGCGCUGGGGUUCCAAGCUUGUGCGCCAUCUGCAUCCAGCGGACGACUGCUCGCCACGGAUCGCCAGCC
This 82-nucleotide small RNA is filed under the name Xanthomonas arboricola. Its description in RNAcentral is "sX9". The record is from RNAcentral. Lineage: Bacteria; Pseudomonadati; Pseudomonadota; Gammaproteobacteria; Lysobacterales; Lysobacteraceae.